RNAcentral lists this ribosomal RNA (400 nucleotides) under uncultured bacterium. RNAcentral's name for it is "bacterial SSU rRNA". It matches the Rfam family "Bacterial small subunit ribosomal RNA", at positions 356 to 773 of the family's 1533-position model. The record is from RNAcentral.
GGGGAGUAUUGGACAAUGGGGGAAACCCUGAUCCAGCCAUGCCGCGUGAGUGAUGAAGGCCUUCGGGUUGUAAAGCUCUUUUAGCGGGGAAGAUAAUGACGGUACCCGCAGAAUAAGCCCCGGCUAACUUCGUGCCAGCAGCCGCGGUAAGACGAAGGGGGCUAGCGUUGUUCGGAAUUACUGGGCGUAAAGGGCGCGCAGGCGGCUCUACAAGUCAGGCGUUAAAGACCCAGGCUCAACCUGGGGAAUGCGCUUGAUACUGUAGGGCUUGAGAUCGGAAGAGGAGAGUGGAAUUCCCAGUGUAGAGGUGAAAUUCGUAGAUAUUGGGAAGAACACCAGUGGCGAAGGCGGCUCUCUGGUCCGAUUCUGACGCUGAGGCGCGAAAGCGUGGGGAGCAAAC